AGUCCCGUAGCUCAAUUGAAUAGAGUGUCAGAUUCCGGUUCUGAAGGUUGCGGGUUUGAGCCCCGCCGGGACUA
This 74-nucleotide transfer RNA is filed under the name Bacteroidales bacterium OttesenSCG-928-B11. RNAcentral describes it as "tRNA-Arg". It matches the Rfam family "tRNA". From Rfam's summary of the family: Transfer RNA (tRNA) molecules are approximately 80 nucleotides in length. Their secondary structure includes four short double-helical elements and three loops (D, anti-codon, and T loops). Lineage: Bacteria; Pseudomonadati; Bacteroidota; Bacteroidia; Bacteroidales. The record is from RNAcentral. RNAcentral also lists the same sequence under 1 other name.